RNAcentral lists this ribosomal RNA (252 nucleotides) under uncultured bacterium. RNAcentral describes it as "partial 16S ribosomal RNA". It matches the Rfam family "Bacterial small subunit ribosomal RNA", at positions 524 to 776 of the family's 1533-position model. The record is from RNAcentral.
UACGUAGGUGGCGAGCGUUGUCCGGAUUUACUGGGCGUAAAGGGAGCGUAGGCGGAUUUUUAAGUGAGAUGUGAAAUACUCGGGCUCAACUUGAGUGCUGCAUUUCAAACUGGAAGUCUAGAGUGCAGGAGAGGAGAAUGGAAUUCCUAGUGUAGCGGUGAAAUGCGUAGAGAUUAGGAAGAACACCAGUGGCGAAGGCGAUUCUCUGGACUGUAACUGACGCUGAGGCUCGAAAGCGUGGGAGCAAACAGG